Molecule: ribosomal RNA, 467 nt
Filed under: uncultured bacterium
Lineage: Bacteria
Description: partial 16S ribosomal RNA
Rfam family: Bacterial small subunit ribosomal RNA
Source: RNAcentral
GAUGAACGCUGGCGGCGUGCUUAACACAUGCAAGUCGAACGAUGAAGCCCAGCUUGCUGGGUGGUAGAGUUGCGAACGGGUGAGUAACACGUGAGUAACCUGCCCUGAACUCUGAGAUAAGCACCGGCAACGGUGUCUAAUACAGGAUACGUCCUAUCAUCGCACGGUGUGUGCGAGAAUAGAUUUAUCGGUUCUUGUUGGACGCGCGGCCUAUCAGCUAGAUGGUGAGGUAAUGGCUGACCACGGCUACGACGGGUAGCCGGCCUGAGAGGGUGACCGGCGACACUGGGACUGAGACACGGCCCAGACUCCUACGGGAGGCAGCAGUGGGGAAUAUUGCACAAUGGGCGCAAGCCUGAUGCAGCAACGCCGCGUGAGGGAUGACGGCCUUCGGGGUGUAAACCUCUUUUAGUGGGGAAGAAGCGAAAGUGACGGUACCUGCAGAAAAAGCACCGGCUAACUACGUG